Molecule: long non-coding RNA, 765 nt
Filed under: Panicum hallii
Lineage: Eukaryota; Viridiplantae; Streptophyta; Magnoliopsida; Poales; Poaceae
Description: long non-coding RNA (PHAL_LNC000507)
Source: RNAcentral
CUUUAUCAUGGACUUCUGACCAGGUAACUUGUGCAUAUCAUUCAUGACGUUACCACUGUCUCCAGAUAGUAAUACCAUCACGGAAGUCUUAUCUGUUUUCAUCAUUUGAGUGCAGAAGCGAACUAAACAUUUUUUUCCAUUAUUUUAGAAUUCUAUACUCAAUCAUUUCUGGAUCGGAGCUGUCGGCUAUUAUUUUCUUGAUUCAGGUUUGUGAUUCGUUGCCCCUUUUCUGAAGGACAUUAAUAUCAGUUCAGUGAGGGUAGACAAGAUAACCUAGUAAAAUGAAGAAAUAUCAGUGCAGAAUUCCCUUGGUUUUUUUUUGGGAGCAUAUCCUGUAGUAUUCCAGUUCUGUAAGAAACCUUUUAUUCCGUGCAGAGCUCCAGUUCCAUGGUUAGUCAAAUUCUGGAUGAUACCGGUUUCAACGGUGUGCGGACAUGAGCAAGGCCGGCUGCCGGCUCUCUCAGAUGGUCAAUGUCGGCCAGACCUGUGAUGUGUUGCUAGCGAGCGUGCCACGUGUGAAUGUGUUAGAGUAACUGCAUCCUUGAGAGCCCUUGAUACCAUCUGACAAUAUAUCCAAGCAAAGGUUCUUCUUCUUUUUUUGGAAAGCUUGCAGGAACCAAGCAAGGUUCUGAAAGUCCAGCCUUCUAUCACAUCUCAUCUGAAAAGGGCAUGCUCUAAUAAAAGCAGCCCGCCCGUGCGUUUAACGAUCAUCAAACUUUGCCUGGUGCUUUUCUGAAUAUAUAAUAGUCAGAUAGUGUGUUUCGG